AUACGUAGGGAGCAAGCGUUGUCCGGAAUUACUGGGCGUAAAGGGCGCGUAGGUGGAUAUUUAAGUCAGCUGUAAAAGGCAUGAGCUCAACUCAUGUAUGCGGUUGAAACUGGGUAUCUAGAGUGCUGGAGAGGUAGGCGGAAUUCCCGGUGUCGCGGGGAAAUGCGUAGAUAUCGGGAAGAACACCAGUGGCGAAGGCGGCUUACUGGCCAGCAACUGACGCUGAGGCGCGAAAGCCAGGGGAGCGAACGGGAUUAGAUACCCCGGUAGUCCUGGCCGUAAACGAUGAAUGCUAGGUGUGGGUGUCGAGAGGCAUCCGUGCCGGAGUUAACGCGAUAAGCAUUCCGCCUGGGGAGUACGAUCGCAAGAUUGAAACUCAAAUGAAUUGGCGGGG
Molecule: ribosomal RNA, 394 nt
Filed under: uncultured bacterium
Lineage: Bacteria
Description: partial 16S ribosomal RNA
Rfam family: Bacterial small subunit ribosomal RNA
Source: RNAcentral